RNAcentral lists this ribosomal RNA (526 nucleotides) under uncultured bacterium. RNAcentral describes it as "bacterial SSU rRNA". It matches the Rfam family "Bacterial small subunit ribosomal RNA", at positions 107 to 649 of the family's 1533-position model. The record is from RNAcentral.
UGAGUAACGCGUUGGUGACCUACCCCAAAGUGUGGGAUAACAGUUCGAAAGGAUUGCUAAUACCGCAUGUGGUCUUCGGAUUUAGAAACUGAUGACUAAAGGAGCAAUUCGCUUUGGGAGGGACCUGCGUCCCAUCAGCUAGUUGGUGAGGUAAUGGCUCACCAAGGCUACGACGGGUAGGGGACCUGAGAGGGUGACCCCCCACAAUGGAACUGAAACACGGUCCAUACACCUACGGGUGGCAGCAGUAGGGAAUAUUGCACAAUGGGCGAAAGCCUGAUGCAGCAACGCCGCGUGUGCGAUGAAGGCCUUCGGGUCGUAAAGCACUUUUCUGAGGGAUGAGCAAGGACAGUACCUCAGGAAUAAGUCUCGGCUAACUACGUGCCAGCAGCCGCGGUAAAACGUAGGAGGCAAGCGUUAUCCGGAUUCACUGGGCGUAAAGCGCGUGCAGGCGGUUCGGUAAGUUGGGCGUGAAAUCUCCUGGCUUAACUAGGAGAGGUCGUUCAAUACUACCGGACUUGAGAGU